RNAcentral lists this unclassified non-coding RNA (253 nucleotides) under uncultured Bacteroidia bacterium. RNAcentral's name for it is "contains 16S-23S intergenic spacer region". It matches the Rfam family "Bacterial small subunit ribosomal RNA", at positions 524 to 776 of the family's 1533-position model. The record is from RNAcentral. Lineage: Bacteria; Pseudomonadati; Bacteroidota; Bacteroidia.
UACGGAGGGCGCAAGCGUUAUCCGGAUUCAUUGGGUUUAAAGGGUGCGUAGGCGGUCGUUUAAGUCAGUGGUGAAAUCCUGCAGCUCAACUGUAGUAUGGCCAUUGAAACUGGACGGCUUGAGUGAAGAAGAGGUAAGCGGAAUUUAUAGUGUAGCGGUGAAAUGCGCAGAUACUAUAAGGAACUCCAAAAGCGAAGGCAGCUUACUGGUCUUUAACUGACGCUGAGGCACGAAAGCGUGGGGAGCAAACAGG